Mustela erminea (ermine) is the source of this 91-nucleotide long non-coding RNA. RefSeq lists it as uncharacterized. Lineage: Eukaryota; Metazoa; Chordata; Mammalia; Carnivora; Mustelidae. The record is from RefSeq and is a predicted model, not a curated record. The transcript has 3 exons.
AGAAAAUCAACCAGGAAAUAGUGGCUUUAAAUGAUACAUUAGACCAGUUGAACCUAACAGAUAUAUACAGAACAUUCAUCUGAAAGUGAAA